RNAcentral lists this ribosomal RNA (822 nucleotides) under uncultured microorganism. RNAcentral describes it as "bacterial SSU rRNA". It matches the Rfam family "Bacterial small subunit ribosomal RNA", at positions 8 to 810 of the family's 1533-position model. The record is from RNAcentral.
AGAGUUUGAUCCUGGCUCAGGACGAACGCUGGCGGCGUGCCUAAUGCAUGCAAGUCGAGCGAAUCAGAUGGGAGCUUGCUCCCGGAUGAUUAGCGGCGGACGGGUGAGUAACACGUGGGCAACCUGCCCGUAAGAUUGGGAUAACUCCGGGAAACCGGUGCUAAUACCGAAUAGAUUCUGACACCUCAUGGUGUCAGAGGGAAAGUUGGCUUUUGGCUAACACUUACGGAUGGGCCCGCGGCGCAUUAGCUAGUUGGUGAGGUAACGGCUCACCAAGGCGACGAUGCGUAGCCGACCUGAGAGGGUGAUCGGCCACACUGGGACUGAGACACGGCCCAGACUCCUACGGGAGGCAGCAGUAGGGAAUCUUCCGCAAUGGAUGAAAGUCUGACGGAGCAACGCCGCGUGAGCGAAGAAGGCCUUCGGGUCGUAAAGCUCUGUUGUCAGGGAAGAACAAGUGCCAUUCGAAUAGGUUGGCACCUUGACGGUACCUGACCAGAAAGCCACGGCUAACUACGUGCCAGCAGCCGCGGUAAUACGUAGGUGGCAAGCGUUGUCCGGAAUUAUUGGGCGUAAAGCGCGCGCAGGCGGUCCUUUAAGUCUGAUGUGAAAGCCCACGGCUCAACCGUGGAGGGUCAUUGGAAACUGGAGGACUUGAGUGCAGAAGAGAAGAGUGGAAUUCCACGUGUAGCGGUGAAAUGCGUAGAGAUGUGGAGGAACACCAGUGGCGAAGGCGACUCUUUGGUCUGUAACUGACGCUGAGGCGCGAAAGCGUGGGGAGCAAACAGGAUUAGAUACCCUGGUAGUCCAAGGCGAUUCGUU